RNAcentral lists this ribosomal RNA (397 nucleotides) under uncultured bacterium. Its description in RNAcentral is "bacterial SSU rRNA". It matches the Rfam family "Bacterial small subunit ribosomal RNA", at positions 29 to 431 of the family's 1533-position model. The record is from RNAcentral.
AUUGAACGCUGGCGGCAUGCUUUACACAUGCAAGUCGAACGGUAACAGGCCUUCGGGUGCUGACGAGUGGCGAACGGGUGAGUAAUGCAUCGGAACGUGCCCAAUCGUGGGGGAUAACGUAGCGAAAGUUACGCUAAUACCGCAUAAGCCCUGAGGGGGAAAGUGGGGGACCGCAAGGCCUCACGCGAAUGGAGCGGCCGAUGUCAGAUUAGCUAGUUGGUGGGGUAAAGGCCCACCAAGGCGACGAUCUGUAGCGGGUCUGAGAGGAUGAUCCGCCACACUGGGACUGAGACACGGCCCAGACUCCUACGGGAGGCAGCAGUGGGGAAUUUUGGACAAUGGGCGCAAGCCUGAUCCAGCCAUGCCGCGUGCGGGACGAAGGCCUCGGUUGUAAACC